UACGUAGGGGGCAAGCGUUGUCCGGAAUCAUUGGGCGUAAAGAGCGUGUAGGCGGCUUGGUAAGUCCGCUGUGAAAGUCCAGGGCUCAACCCUGGAAUGCCGGUGGAAACUGCCAAGCUCGAGUCCGGAAGAGGCGAGUGGAAUUCCUGGUGUAGCGGUGAAAUGCGCAGAUAUCAGGAGGAACACCAAUGGCGAAGGCAGCUCGCUGGGACGGUACUGACGCUGAGAAGCGAAAGCAUGGGGAGCGAACAGG
RNAcentral lists this ribosomal RNA (253 nucleotides) under uncultured bacterium. Its description in RNAcentral is "partial 16S ribosomal RNA". It matches the Rfam family "Bacterial small subunit ribosomal RNA", at positions 524 to 776 of the family's 1533-position model. The record is from RNAcentral.